CGGUGUUUAACUGGCGUGAUGUGGGACGUCCUACCGGUGGGCUUAGCCUCGCGAGGGGCGGCCCAACUAAUAUCCCGUCGCGGUGCUCUUUACUGAGUGUCGAGUCGGGCCGGUACGUUUACUUUGAACAAAUUAGAGUGCUUAAAGCAGGCUAUCCUCGCCUGAAUACUGCGUGCAUGGAAUAAUGGAAUAGGACCUCGAUUCUAUUUUGUUGGUUUUCGGAACCCCGAGGUAAUGAUUAAUAGGGACAGAUGGGGGCAUUCGUAUUGCGACGUUAGAGGUGAAAUUCUUGGAUCGUCGCAAGACGGACAGAAGCGAAAGCAUUUGCCAAAAAUGUUUUCAUUAAUCAAGAACGAAAGUUAGAGGUUCGAAGGCGAUCAGAUACCGCCCUAGUUCUAACCAUAAACGAUGCCAGCUAGCGAUCCGCCGAAGUUCCUCCGAUGACUCGGCGGGCAGCUUCCGGGAAACCAAAGCUUUUGGGUUCCGGGGGAAGUAUGGUUGCAAAGCUGAAACUUAAAGGAAUUGACGGAAGGGCACCACCAGGAGUGGAGCCUGCGGCUUAAUUUGACUCAACACGGGAAACCUCACCAGGCCCAGACACCGGAAGGAUUGACAGAUUGAUAGCUCUUUCUUGAUUCGGUGGGUGGUGGUGCAUGGCCGUUCUUAGUUGGUGGAGCGAUUUGUCUGGUUAAUUCCGAUAACGAACGAGACUCUAGCCUGCUAAAUAGGCGUACCUUAUGGUAUCGCGAAGGCCCCCGGCUUCGGCCGGUGGGUUUUUACUACCAACGUACAAACAAAUCUUCUUAGAGGGACAGGCGG
This 819-nucleotide ribosomal RNA is filed under the name uncultured eukaryote. RNAcentral describes it as "SSU rRNA". It matches the Rfam family "Eukaryotic small subunit ribosomal RNA", at positions 629 to 1426 of the family's 1831-position model. The record is from RNAcentral.